AAGUCUGACUCAGGAUAUUGAGAAUCUGAAGAGCUUCUAGAUUCCGAAGCCUCUGUGACUAAGUACUUUCUUACACAAUUCAAUCUUGUUUAAAAAUAUUCAUCAUAGCCUCAGAUUUCUAUUAGAUAAUUCCUCUAUGAAAAAGAAUAAAAUCCACACCUGUAUUAAAGAGUCUUUGAGGCUGAUUGACAGGUUGUUCAUACAGUUAUCCUCACUGAAGUGUCGUAGGAGUCAGAAGGGAAGGAGAGGCAAGAACCUAGAAAGAAAAGGUUGCUGUCGUCAUUGCUAACCCAGAAUGGAAGCCAUCUUUUCCCAGAGGCCUGGCCAGAGCUAGUAGUCACCACCCACGUUGCCAUUGCAUUCAGACCCUCAUGGCCAGAUCCCAAGGUGAUCCAAACUCUCUCCCUUCAAAUGCCUACACAUUACUGAUGGUUUACAUCUACAGUAUACCUUAAUAAAUGUCUUUUUAAAUGGUACUUGAGCGUAGGCAUAAUGUUUUUGUACACUGUGUAAAAGUUUAACCUUGUGUUACUCAAAUGCAGAUUUCUCUGCCCUCGUAUCUCGUUUCAGUCAGGAC
This 577-nucleotide long non-coding RNA is filed under the name Rattus norvegicus (Norway rat). RNAcentral describes it as "long non-coding RNA NONRATT033694". Lineage: Eukaryota; Metazoa; Chordata; Mammalia; Rodentia; Muridae. The record is from RNAcentral.